UUUUAUUGUUUUUUGGUUUUUAAUUAGUUUUGCAUACUAGUAAAAGAAAAUUUUAUGGCUAUAUAUAAUAGAAGUAGAGAGUUAAAAAGAAUUGGGUUUUAUCGUUGUAUGAUGAUUAUUAAUUUUUUUUGUUUUGAUAUGUCGAUCUCUAUUAUAUCUGUGUUUUUUUUUGUUAUUAGAAAUUUGUGUGUUUUGAAGUUUUUAUUUGGGGCUAUAUGAUUUAGAGUUUUAUUUUUUGUAGUGUUGUGACUUGCCCUUUUGUUUUAUAAAAGUGGAUGGUUUGUUUUUUUAUUAAUUUUUUAAUAGGUUGUUAGUUUUUAUUUUAGUAGAGGUUUUUUAUUUUUUGUUUUUGUAGAAUUUAGUUGUGAGAACUUGAAGUAUGAUCAAAUGUUUUUUAAAGACUGAUGUUUCUAUAUGAAAUUGUCUUCUGCUCUAUGAGUUUUUUAAUGGCCGCCUUAGCGUGAGGGCAUGAAAGUAGCAAAAUGAUUUGUGUUUUUAUUGGAUUCGAGUAUGAAAGGAGGUUUUGGUUGUUUUUGUUCUUUUUUUGUUUUGAACUAUUUUUUUAUUUAAGAAUUAAUAUAUAUAGUUGUACAAAGAUAAGUCUUCGGAAAUUCUGUUAGCUUGUUGUUUUUAGAGACAAUAAGCUAGGGUUGUUUAGGGCAAAAAUGUAUGUAGUUAGAUUUUACUAUUAUUAUUGAAAAGAGUUACUCCGGAGUUAACAGAAAUUUACGUUUUUUCUAGAUGUUAUGGAAAAAAGGAUUUUACAUCGAUGUUGUAUUUUAGUUGGGUGAAGGAGUAGUGAUUUUGUUUUUUUGAGACUGUUCUUCUUUUAGGAAACUAAACGUGAUAUUAGUUUUAAUUCAUUGUGAGAUAGAAUUGAUUAUCUUGUUAACUAUUUUGUUUUUUAGUGGUUAGUACGAAAGGAAAAUUAUUAGAAUUUUUAAAUUUUGUGUA
RNAcentral lists this ribosomal RNA (954 nucleotides) under Heterakis gallinarum. RNAcentral describes it as "16S ribosomal RNA". The record is from RNAcentral. Lineage: Eukaryota; Metazoa; Nematoda; Chromadorea; Rhabditida; Heterakidae.